AAGUCGUAACAAGGUUUCCGUAGGUGAACCUGCGGAAGGAUCAUUACAAAAGUUAAACACUUGGGGGAACGGACUCGCCUUUCGGGGCUCGAGGCCUGACUCCAUUUGUAACAAACUUUCAACCACUUGUGAAUUUGUAACAAAUUUCUCACCAAUUGACUGUUAACGAAGUCUGAUUCAAAUUGUAUUGGUGUUUAUAGACACUAGUAAAAUAUGAACAA
RNAcentral lists this unclassified non-coding RNA (221 nucleotides) under plant metagenome. Its description in RNAcentral is "partial contains small subunit ribosomal RNA and internal transcribed spacer 1". The stretch from base 1 to 46 matches the Rfam family "Eukaryotic small subunit ribosomal RNA", at positions 1786 to 1831 of the family's 1831-position model. The record is from RNAcentral.